GACGAACCUGACGAACGUUAUUCGGAAUCACUGGGCUUAAAGGGUGCGUAGGUGGCGUCGUAAGUGGGGUGUGAAAUCCCGGGGCUUAACCCCGGGACUGCAUUCCAUACUGCGGUGCUUGAGGACUGGAGAGGAGACUGGAAUUUACGGUGUAGCAGUGAAAUGCGUAGAGAUCGUAAGGAAGACCAGUGGCGAAGGCGGGUCUCUGGACAGUUCCUGACACUGAGGCACGAAGGCCAGGGGAGCAAACGGG
Molecule: ribosomal RNA, 253 nt
Filed under: uncultured bacterium
Lineage: Bacteria
Description: partial 16S ribosomal RNA
Rfam family: Bacterial small subunit ribosomal RNA
Source: RNAcentral